This 492-nucleotide ribosomal RNA is filed under the name uncultured bacterium. RNAcentral describes it as "partial 16S ribosomal RNA". It matches the Rfam family "Bacterial small subunit ribosomal RNA", at positions 29 to 507 of the family's 1533-position model. The record is from RNAcentral.
AGUGAACGCUGGCGGUAGGCCUAACACAUGCAAGUCGAACGGCAGCACAGUAAGAGCUUGCUCUUACGGGUGGCGAGUGGCGGAUGGGUGAGGAAUACAUCGGAAUCUACUUUUUCGUGGGGGAUAACGUAGGGAAACUGACGCUAAUACCGCAUACGACCUACGGGUGAAAGCAGGGGAUCUUCGGACUUUGCGCGAUUGAAUGAGACGAUGCCGGAUUAGCUAGUUGGCGGGGUAAAGGCCCACCAAGGCGACGAUCCGUAGCUGGUCUGAGAGGAUGAUCAGCCACACUGGAACUGAGACACGGUCCAGACUCCUACGGGAGGCAGCAGUGGGGAAUAUUGGACAAUGGGCGCAAGCCUGAUCCAGCCAUACCGCGUGGGUGAAGAAGGCCUUCGGGUUGUAAAGCCCUUUUGUUGGGAAAGAAAAGCAGCAGGUUAAUACCCCGCUGUUCUGACGGUACCCAAAGAAUAAGCACCGGCUAACUUCGUG